Slackia piriformis YIT 12062 is the source of this 356-nucleotide non-coding RNA. It matches the Rfam family "Bacterial RNase P class A". From Rfam's summary of the family: Ribonuclease P (RNase P) is a ubiquitous endoribonuclease, found in archaea, bacteria and eukarya as well as chloroplasts and mitochondria. Its best characterised activity is the generation of mature 5'-ends of tRNAs by cleaving the 5'-leader elements of precursor-tRNAs. Cellular RNase Ps are ribonucleoproteins. The record is from Rfam. NCBI's taxonomy places the organism in Bacteria, Bacillati, Actinomycetota, Coriobacteriia, Eggerthellales, Eggerthellaceae.
UAUGCGGGCCGGACGGUCGCGUGGGAUAUGCUCCCAUGAGGAAAGUCCGGGCUUCUAGAGGCAGGAUGCCGGCUAACGGCCGGGCGGGGAAACCCGACGGAAAGUGCUGCAGAAAAGAAAACUCCCACUGGCGCGAAUCGCGUUAAGGGAAAAGCUGAGAAGGUGCGGUAAGAGCGCACCAGCACGCUGGCAACAGCGUGGCUUGGUAAACCCCAUCCGAAGCAAGGGCGAAUAGGCAUGCAACACGGCGCGCCUCUCCGUGCAUGCGGGUAGCCUGCUCGAGACGUGCGGUAACACACGCCCAAGAUAAAUGGCCGUCUUCGAAGACAGAACCCGGCUUACAGGCCCGCUACGGC